This 283-nucleotide long non-coding RNA is filed under the name Hordeum vulgare. RNAcentral's name for it is "long non-coding RNA (HVUL_LNC013717)". The record is from RNAcentral. Lineage: Eukaryota; Viridiplantae; Streptophyta; Magnoliopsida; Poales; Poaceae.
CCCAAGAUUUGCUGCUGGAGGUUCAUCAUCAGCUCCUGGAGGUUCAUCAGUUGCUCCUACACCAAGAAACCAUUCUGGCUGGAUGGCAUUUUUUACUGCUAGUGGUAACCAUGACUAAUGAUGUGUAUUCAGAGUAUUUUCUGGUUGUAUGAUCAGUACUAAGUGAUGUGUGAUAAGUGAUAAGUACUAAGUUCUAUGAUGUGUAUUAAGUGAAUUUGCUGGUUGUACUACCAGUAGUAAGUGAUUUGUGAUAAGUGAUAAGUACUAAGUGAUAAGUAUUAAG